CAAAGAGUUGUAGAACGAUGUACCUCAGGUCGAUCGUGACAUUAUGAGCUCCACUAUCUACCGGUCCGCAGAACCACCGUUGCAGCUCCGUCUGUCGACUGUGAAUCUGAGAAAAAGGAAACACGAGCAAUCCAAAGGAGAAAUGAAAGAAAUCAAUGACAAGAGGAAAUAGAAGAAGGAAGAAAGGAAGAUAGUGUACCUGCAAGGGAGAAAGCGGGUGGAAUGAAGUGAGAAACUGAUUUUAUGGUUCAAGUGAAAUGAAAGGAGAAAUUGAUUCAGAAGAUUUUUAAAGGAAAAUAAAUUUUUAGAAGAAUAAUGGGUUUAGGCACAGAUGGGUUUUAGAUAUGGAGGGAAUAAAAUUUUAGAAUUGCUAAAACGAAACUUAGUUUAAAAUUUUUAGAGAGAAAAAUGUAAAAGAAUUAAAAAAUGAAGAAAAAAAAUAUAUUAUUAUUUGAAGAGAUUAUAGACCUCUCUUAAAAGGAAUUAAAACCCCUA
Molecule: long non-coding RNA, 495 nt
Filed under: Vigna radiata
Lineage: Eukaryota; Viridiplantae; Streptophyta; Magnoliopsida; Fabales; Fabaceae
Description: long non-coding RNA (VRAD_LNC015896)
Source: RNAcentral